RNAcentral lists this ribosomal RNA (545 nucleotides) under [Eubacterium] saphenum. RNAcentral describes it as "bacterial SSU rRNA". It matches the Rfam family "Bacterial small subunit ribosomal RNA", at positions 382 to 947 of the family's 1533-position model. Lineage: Bacteria; Bacillati; Bacillota; Clostridia; Peptostreptococcales; Anaerovoracaceae. The record is from RNAcentral.
CCUGAUGCAGCAACGCCGCGUGAGGUAUGAAGGCCUUUGGGUGUGUGAAGCCUCUGUCCUAGGGGAAGAAAAAAAUGACGGUACCCGAGGAGGAAGCCCCGGCUAACUACGUGCCAGCAGCCGCGGUAAUACGUAGGGGGCAAGCGUUAUCCGGAAUUAUUGGGCGUAAAGAGUGCGUAGGUGGUCUACUAAGCGCGAGGUGAAAGGCAAUGGCUCAACCAUUGUUAGCCUUGUGAACUGGCAGACUUGAGUGCAAGAGAGGAAAGCGGAAUUCCUAGUGUAGCGGUGAAAUGCGCAGAUAUUAGGAGGAACACCGGCGGCGAAGGCGGCUUUCUGGAUUGUAACUGACACUGAGGCACGAAAGCGUGGGUAGCAAACAGGAUUAGAUACCCUGGUAGUCCACGCCGUAAACGAUGAGCACUAGGUGUCGGGACAUGAGUCUCGGUGCCGCAGUUAACGCAUAAGUGCUCCGCCUGGGGAGUACGCACGCCAGUGUAAAACUCAAAGGAAUUGACGGGGACCGCACAGCAGCGAGCAUGUGGUUU